UACGUAGGUGGCAAGCGUUGUCCGGAAUUAUUGGGCGUAAAGCGCGCGCAGGCGGUCCCUUAAGUCUGAUGUGAAAGCCCACGGCUCAACCGUGGAGGGUCAUUGGAAACUGGGGGACUUGAGUACAGAAGAGGAAAGCGGAAUUCCACGUGUAGCGGUGAAAUGCGUAGAGAUGUGGAGGAACACCAGUGGCGAAGGCGGCUUCUGGUCUGUAACUGACGCUGAGGCGCGAAAGCGUGGGGGAGCAAACAGG
This 253-nucleotide ribosomal RNA is filed under the name uncultured bacterium. RNAcentral's name for it is "partial 16S ribosomal RNA". It matches the Rfam family "Bacterial small subunit ribosomal RNA", at positions 524 to 776 of the family's 1533-position model. The record is from RNAcentral.